GGGGGUGGGGAGAGUGCAUGCUUAGCAAGCAUGAGGUCCUGGGUUCAAUCCCCAGUACCUCCU
RNAcentral lists this transfer RNA (63 nucleotides) under Camelus ferus (Wild Bactrian camel). It matches the Rfam family "tRNA". Rfam says of the family: Transfer RNA (tRNA) molecules are approximately 80 nucleotides in length. Their secondary structure includes four short double-helical elements and three loops (D, anti-codon, and T loops). The record is from Rfam by way of RNAcentral. Lineage: Eukaryota; Metazoa; Chordata; Mammalia; Artiodactyla; Camelidae.